GAUGAACGCUAGCGGCAGGCCUAACACAUGCAAGUCGAGGGGUAGAAGCUUUCGGGCUUUGAGACCGGCGCACGGGUGCGUAACGCGUAUGCAAUCUGCCUUGUACUGAGGGAUAGCCCAGAGAAAUUUGGAUUAAUACCUCAUGGUAUUUUUUGUUGGCAUCAACAGAUUAUUAAAGAGAUUCGGUACAAGAUGAGCAUGCGUCCCAUUAGCUAGUUGGUAUGGUAACGGCAUACCAAGGCUACGAUGGGUAGGGGUCCUGAGAGGGAGAUCCCCCACACUGGUACUGAGACACGGACCAGACUCCUACGGGAGGCAGCAGUGAGGAAUAUUGGUCAAUGGUCGCAAGACUGAACCAGCCAUGCCGCGUGUAGGAUGAAGCAUCUAUGGUGUGUAAAACUACUUUUUGUACGGGAAAGAAA
This 422-nucleotide ribosomal RNA is filed under the name Bacteroidetes bacterium oral taxon F44. Its description in RNAcentral is "bacterial SSU rRNA". It matches the Rfam family "Bacterial small subunit ribosomal RNA", at positions 28 to 452 of the family's 1533-position model. Lineage: Bacteria; Pseudomonadati; Bacteroidota. The record is from RNAcentral.